Molecule: small RNA, 17 nt
Filed under: Arabidopsis thaliana (thale cress)
Lineage: Eukaryota; Viridiplantae; Streptophyta; Magnoliopsida; Brassicales; Brassicaceae
Description: ATSL297610
Source: RNAcentral
UGAGAGAUGGAUGAAGA